GACGAACGCUGGCGGCGUGCUUAACACAUGCAAGUCGAGCGGUAAGGCCCUUCGGGGUACACGAGCGGCGAACGGGUGAGUAACACGUGGGUGAUCUGCCUCGUACUCUGGGAUAAGCCUGGGAAACUGGGUCUAAUACCGGAUAUGACCACGAAUCGCAUGGUUUGUGGUGGAAAGAUUUAUCGGUGCGAGAUGGGCCCGCGGCCUAUCAGCUUGUUGGUGGGGUAAUGGCCUACCAAGGCGACGACGGGUAGCCGGCCUGAGAGGGCGACCGGCCACACUGGGACUGAGACACGGCCCAGACUCCUACGGGAGGCAGCAGUGGGGAAUAUUGCACAAUGGGCGGAAGCCUGAUGCAGCGACGCCGCGUGCGGGAUGACGGCCUUCGGGUUGUAAACCGCUUUCGACAGGGACGAAGCGUGAGUGACGGUACCUGUAGAAGAAGCACCGGCCAACUACGUG
This 462-nucleotide ribosomal RNA is filed under the name Nocardia carnea. Its description in RNAcentral is "bacterial SSU rRNA". It matches the Rfam family "Bacterial small subunit ribosomal RNA", at positions 28 to 507 of the family's 1533-position model. Lineage: Bacteria; Bacillati; Actinomycetota; Actinomycetes; Mycobacteriales; Nocardiaceae. The record is from RNAcentral. RNAcentral also lists the same sequence under 1 other name.